UACGAAGGGGGCUAGCGUUGCUCGGAAUCACUGGGCGUAAAGGGUGCGUAGGCGGGUUUUUAAGUCAGAGGUGAAAUCCUGGAGCUCAACUCCAGAACUGCCUUUGAUACUGAGAAUCUUGAGUAUGGGAGAGGUGAGUGGAACUGCGAGUGUAGAGGUGAAAUUCGUAGAUAUUCGCAAGAACACCAGUGGCGAAGGCGGCUCACUGGCCCAUAACUGACGCUGGGGCACGAAAGCGUGGGGAGCAAACAGG
RNAcentral lists this ribosomal RNA (253 nucleotides) under uncultured bacterium. Its description in RNAcentral is "partial 16S ribosomal RNA". It matches the Rfam family "Bacterial small subunit ribosomal RNA", at positions 524 to 776 of the family's 1533-position model. The record is from RNAcentral.